CCUACGGGUGGCUGCAGUGGGGAAUAUUGCACAAUGGGGGAAACCCUGAUGCAGCGACGCAGCGUGAGUGAAGAAGUAUUUCGGUAUGUAAAGCUCUAUCAGCAGGGAAGUAAAUGAAGGUACCUGUUUAAGAAGCCACGGCUAACUACGUGCCAGCAGCCGCGGUAAUACGUCGGGGGCCAGCGUUAUCCGGAUUUACUGGGUGUAAAGGGAGCGUAGACGGCUGCACAAGUCUGGAGUGAAAUUCCGGGGCUUAACCCCGGAACUGCAUUUGAAACUGUGCAGCUAGAGUGCAGUUGAGGUAAGUGGAAUUCCUAGUGUAGCGGUGAAAUGCUUAGAUAUUAGGAGGAACACCAGUGGCGAAGGCAGCUUACUGGACUGUAACUGACAUUGAGGCUCGAAAGCGUGGGUAGCAAACAGGAUUAGAUACCCCGGUAGUC
RNAcentral lists this ribosomal RNA (440 nucleotides) under uncultured bacterium. RNAcentral describes it as "partial 16S ribosomal RNA". It matches the Rfam family "Bacterial small subunit ribosomal RNA", at positions 338 to 795 of the family's 1533-position model. The record is from RNAcentral.